GAGGGAGGUAGGCGGAGAGAAAGAAGGAAAAAGAUAAAGAGAGAGAGCGUGUGUGUGUGCGAAACGGAUGUUCGGAGGAGAGCGAACCUCGACCGAAUACGUACGCUGCGGCGUUCCCCGCGUGAAUGCCGGCCCGGCGGCCUGCACGUGCUGAUGCCGCAAGGCACUUCACCGCUGCCGCUCAACCAAUCGCGACGAACCACCUGUUACCAGCGCAGCGCACCGACGGCAAACGGGGGAAGUAGCGCGGCUCGCGCUGCGCGCGCAUGGUCGCUCAUUCGUGCAGCGGAUUUUUCGAAGAGCCGCUCGCGCGCUUCUCGCUCUUCCCGAGAGGACGGCGGACGAGCAAGCGUCUCGCUUGCGGGAAAUGGGAAAGGUCGCGGAUCGCGCGUGGGAAAUCGAAGGGAGAGACUCGUCAUCAGCGCCGGUGGCGUUUCCGAUUUGACGAGCGAAACUGCGCUCACUCGGCCGUCACGUUCGCCAUCUUUCCCAGACGUUCUCGCAGCCGUCGCGACAGUGAUUACGUCCGUGCUCCGAUCGUGCACGCGGUCGGCUGCGAUGUCCCGACAGUUUGGAAUAAUAAUAGCGCGACGGAGACUAAUACAGAUAACUUGAGUAUUCUCUUAAGGAUAUGCUAACAAUUGAGAUGGUCAUGGAAGUUCAUCUUUAGAUGCGACAUAGAUGCUAUAUGAAAGCCGUUUCAUCAGAUGUAUAUUAUACCAAGAUAAACUCAACUUUACACUAGACUAUAAAUAUUACCUUGAGAGCGGGAAAACGUGAACAAGUUCACGGUGAAAAGUUCCACGUUGCCAUAGUUCGAGAGGUUACAUGAUCG
Long non-coding RNA from Harpegnathos saltator (Jerdon's jumping ant), 835 nucleotides. RefSeq lists it as uncharacterized. The record is from RefSeq and is a predicted model, not a curated record. Lineage: Eukaryota; Metazoa; Arthropoda; Insecta; Hymenoptera; Formicidae. The transcript is spliced from 2 exons.